UACGGGGGGAGCAAGCGUUGUUCGGAUUUACUGGGCGUAAAGGGCGCGUAGGCGGCACUGCAAGUCAGUUGUGAAAUCUCCAGGCUCAACUUGGAAACUGCCAUUGAUACUAUUAAUCUUGAAUACCGUGGAGGUCAGCGGAAUAUGUCAUGUAGCGGUGAAAUGCUUAGAUAUGACAUAGAACACCAAUUGCGAAGGCAGCUGGCUACACGAAUAUUGACACUGAUGCACGAAAGCGUGGGGAUCAAACAGG
Molecule: ribosomal RNA, 253 nt
Filed under: uncultured bacterium
Lineage: Bacteria
Description: partial 16S ribosomal RNA
Rfam family: Bacterial small subunit ribosomal RNA
Source: RNAcentral